This 379-nucleotide long non-coding RNA is filed under the name Homo sapiens (human). RNAcentral describes it as "HSALNT0209258". The record is from RNAcentral. Lineage: Eukaryota; Metazoa; Chordata; Mammalia; Primates; Hominidae.
GUGAUAAUGAAUAAGUCUCAUAAGAUCUGACGGUUUUAUAAAAGGGCAAUUCCCCUGCACAUGUUUUCCUGCCUGCCACCAAGUAAGGUGUGCCUUUGCUUCUCCUUUGCCUUCUGUCAUGAAUGUGAGGCCUCCCCAGCCAUGUAGAACCCAACAAGAAAACCAACUAGACAUUUUCCUGGACCAGUAGGAUCUUCAGGCUUGAGUGGGCAGAAAUGAAGGCCCAAGGAGAAUAAGAAGAAUCAGACCUGGGCAUAAAAGUAUAUUGAAGUCUGGCUCCUGAGAGUUUGUCUUGCAUCACUUUACAUACCAAACCUCACCUACCAUAGUGAGACCUAAAUUCAAAUAAAUGAUAAAUGAAAACAGAUUUUUAAAAAAC